GUAAGUAUAGUUUAACUUAAAAUAUUAGAUUGUGAUUCUAAAGACAGAGGUUAAAAUCCUCUUACUCACC
Molecule: transfer RNA, 70 nt
Filed under: Yaoshania pachychilus
Lineage: Eukaryota; Metazoa; Chordata; Actinopteri; Cypriniformes; Gastromyzontidae
Description: tRNA-His
Rfam family: tRNA
About the family: Transfer RNA (tRNA) molecules are approximately 80 nucleotides in length. Their secondary structure includes four short double-helical elements and three loops (D, anti-codon, and T loops).
Source: RNAcentral